Megalobrama amblycephala (Wuchang bream) is the source of this 1344-nucleotide long non-coding RNA. RefSeq lists it as uncharacterized. NCBI's taxonomy places the organism in Eukaryota, Metazoa, Chordata, Actinopteri, Cypriniformes, Xenocyprididae. The record is from RefSeq and is a predicted model, not a curated record. The transcript has 3 exons.
AAAUGAUAAAACGAGAGAUUAAACUUUUUAUGACUUCAUGUACAUUUAAUGUAUUAAAUGUAGCCCUACACUUAUUAAAUGUCAUCAUCAAACCUGUGCAAACAAUAUGCAAAGUUAAAGUACUCAGAAAUGUCUCAACUCUUAAAUCAUAAGAAACAAAUGAGCUUUAAUUUUAUUAUCAAACAAAGUGUUUCUGUCCACUGUGCAUUAAAUUAUGCAAAAUAUGUAACUUGCACACAGUCAAGCUGUUGACUUAAAGGGUGUGUACUGGAUGAUAACCCAGACGAAUGUUCAGAAUAAGCCACAUGACGAAGAAGAGCUGGAACGCUUUACUGUCUCUGUAUUCUCGUAAUUUGGAAUAGAAUGAAGGAUUACCAUCUGAUCUCUGAAACCAUUGAAUAAUGUAAAUAAUGCCAGGCAAUCAAGAAGAUGUUAAUACAUAAUAUCUGCUUCAAAAACCACAUUCUACACUUUAUCUUUUAACCUUGCUCCAUGGAUGUGUUAACUAUUCAUAUCGUGGAGGACUCGUCUGACAGUGCCGUGUUCUGGGUCCAGGUUGAGUGUGCUAAUCCUUUCCUGCUAAACUUCUGGUUCCAAAAGACAUUCUUCAACAAUGGGGAAGUCCAGCAGAUCAACACCCUGAGGAUAAACGGCUGUCAUGGGCUAGUGUUUGUUUUGAGGGUGCUACAUCGUUCUUCACGCCUGCCUAAUUCCCAUUAUUGGUGCCCUUUCCUAGUGACACUCUGCCUCGAUGCCCUGGCAUUUCACUACCACCUCCCCUCCCUGCCCCAGUGGAACGGCACCCUUCGAGAAGCAAUGAGAGGAAACAGCCUUGAGCUCAGACGCUGAGAGACUAUUGCUAUUUUGCUGCUUACAGAGCCUAUUAGUUUCAGAUAUUCACUUACUAAAGUGAUGGAUCUUACCAUCGUAGAGGUAGUACGUCCCAUCUUUGAACACAGCAACAACGGGAACAUCCUGCAGAGUGACUGCCUAUGGAGAAAAUCAAUAAUGAAUUGAUUCGGUUUAUUUUAAGUUGAUUAUUUUUACAGAGGUAUUUUCCUCUGAAAGGAGAAAGUCUUACCUUUGGAAGGACUUUCACAGAUGCAGAAAAAAAAUAAGUGUGGACAAUAUACUCAGUUGCAGCUUUAUAGUAUUCAUUCUGUAAAAAAUACAAAAUAAAACUUGUAUUUCACUAGCAGCUUGAAUACAAACCAUUCCUGUAUAUCUUUGCAUGACCUGCCAAUAAAUAUAUAUUUACACAGUUUAAAUAGUGUUAGUGUUAGAACUAGUGUUCAUUAGUUUGCAUUUCAUUCCUAUUCCAUCAAAAUUCAGUCAUUCAUUGUU